AUUGAACGCUGGCGGCAUGCUUUACACAUGCAAGUCGAACAGCAGCACGGGUGCUUGCACCUGGUGGCGAGUGGCGAAUGGGUGAGUAACACAUCGGAACGUGCCUAUUAGUGGGGGAUAACGCUUCGAAGGAGUGCUAAUACCGCAUACGCCCUGAGGGGGAAAGUGGGGGAUCUUCGGACCUCAGGCUAAUAGAGCGGCUGAUGGCUGAUUAGCUAGUUGGUGAGGUAAAGGCUCACCAAGGCUUCGAUCAGUAGCGGGUCUUAGAGGACGAUCCGCCACACUGGAACCGAGACACGGUCCAGACUCCUACGGGAGGCAGCAGUGGGGAAUCUUGGACAAUGGGCGCAAGUCUGAUCCAGCAAUGCCGCGUGGGUGAAGAAGGCCUUCGGGUUGUAAAGCCCUUUUGUUUGGGAGCAAAUCCUGCUGGUUAAUACCUGGUGGGGAUGAGAGUACCAAAAGAAUCAGCACCGGCUAACUACGUGCCAGCCGCCGCGGUAA
This 501-nucleotide ribosomal RNA is filed under the name uncultured bacterium. Its description in RNAcentral is "partial 16S ribosomal RNA". It matches the Rfam family "Bacterial small subunit ribosomal RNA", at positions 30 to 523 of the family's 1533-position model. The record is from RNAcentral.